GACAGAGGGGGCAAGCGUUGUCCGGAGUGACUGGGCGUACAGCGCGCGCAGGCGGUUGGUGACGUGCCGUGUCACAGCCCUGAGCUCAACUCAGGGUGGCCACGGUAGACGCACCGGCUGGAGGCAGGGAGAGGGAUGUGGAAUACCCGGUGGAGCGGUGAAAUGUGUAGAGAUCGGGAGGAACACCGGUGGCGAAGGCGGUCUUCUGGACGGUGACUGACGCUGAGGCGCGAAAGCGUGGGGAGCAAACGGG
This 253-nucleotide ribosomal RNA is filed under the name uncultured bacterium. RNAcentral's name for it is "partial 16S ribosomal RNA". It matches the Rfam family "Bacterial small subunit ribosomal RNA", at positions 524 to 776 of the family's 1533-position model. The record is from RNAcentral.